This 2500-nucleotide long non-coding RNA is filed under the name Nicotiana benthamiana. Its description in RNAcentral is "long non-coding RNA (NBEN_LNC015683)". The record is from RNAcentral. Lineage: Eukaryota; Viridiplantae; Streptophyta; Magnoliopsida; Solanales; Solanaceae.
GAAGCAACUUCAAUAGAAACUUAAAUAUUCACUGAUUUCUUCUGGCACAAGAUAGAACUGCCACAUCUCAACUUCCAAACUCAAGCCAAUACCCUUAUGGUCAGCUGUUAUGGUCACGCAGAAUGGAUCUUGUCACAGGGCGAUUCACUGGAAAGUUUGUUCAACACAGAUCAUUUCCCUUGUUUCUAUUCCGUGAGCGACCUAUAACCUUAGAAGUCGUUAGAGACUCUCCCAGACCUCUUGUUUUUAAUAUAAAUCUUGCUCGCCUUUCUUUAUUCCUUCUGUCUCUUUAAAUAGAGUCUUAUUACAAAGCUAUAAAGCAUAAUUAGUAGUCUACAUAUAUAAGAAAUCUACUAAACUAAGAAUUCUAGUAAAAUUAAACUACUGACUAAACUAAGAAUUCUAGUCAAAUUAAACUACUGACUAUUUAAAUGCCCAACAAAUAUCUAUCAGGUGCAUCACCCCCCUACGAAUGAGUCUGUAACAUUACCCCCUCUUCUUUAAAGAGCUUGUCCUCAAGCUCGAAGUCUGGAUAAGCAUUAAGAAAAUGUUCAGCAUCCUGAUCAGCAAGUUCCAACCAAAAUAGCUUCUUACAUUGAUGCCCAAUCAAAUACAAUUCAUCACAAUUAUAACACAAUCCCUUUGUUCUCUCUGCCAUUUCAGCUCGUGACAACUUCUUUAUGAAAGGAGCAAAUGAACUUACCAACUUUGGUUUUUACCGCAUUGCUUUCCCUUGGAGUUGGAGUUGUUGAACUUGUAGUAGUACUGAAAUAGCCUUUAGUCCCUUGCCAAGUCUUACUUUGAGAAGAUGUCGCUCGCACCAACUUCUGUUUCUUUUCAAAACCUCGAGCUAUAUUUAUGGCAUGAACCAAAUCUUGUGGACUACGCAUUUCAACAUCAAGCCUAAUGGAAUCGAUCAGCCCGGCAGUGAAAAGACUAACUUGCUGGUCAACACGAACACACUUACUAAGCUUGUUUGCUUAAGGUUAACCAGAUCACCUAGUGGAUUACUGCCCAGUGGAGGCCUAAACCUGAGAGCACAAUAUUCUUUGAAUUCAGACCAAUCAACUGAGGUAUACUCUUGUUCCACUUGAUGAUACCAUAAUUGUGCCUCACCUAGAAGAUGGAAUGCUGCCAAUUCCACCUUAUCUACUUCAUUUGUUCUCUGAUUGGAGAAGAAUUUCUCACAACGGUGUAGCCAAAUCAAUGGGUCUUCAGAUCCGUCAAAAGUGGGAAAAUCCAGCUUUGUGUAUCUUGGUACUACACUAUUUCCUGUCAGCUGAUUAGGCCGAUUCUCUGGUCUGUAGGGUUGGUUACCUACAUUGCUGCUUGCUCCAGCAUCAGAAUCCUUUCCUUGAUUUUUGUUAAACCUAACAAUGAACUCCUGCAAUUGUAACGAUAAUUGUUGCAGCCGAUUAACCAUCCUUGAUUCAGAUUGUGCCAUUUCCGAGGACAUGACCCUAGAUAGGAAAGUCUGGAGGUCUAGCAUCAGGGUUGUAGGAUAGGGCUCCUAGAGUUUUUCGUACUACUCACCCGGGGUUGGGUGAGGCUUGGCAGGGCUAUCCAUAGAUAAUUUGUGUUUUGGAUUGUGUCUCACUUAUGGUAGUUAAUGUAUGAUAUUAUUGCAUGAUAUUUAUAUAUGGUUCUUAUGUUUAGAUAAUUAUUUACGUUAUUUCUGCUGGAGUUACUAAUGCUCUUUUGUUUUUGUUUUUGUUUUUACUUUCCUUCACUUGGUCGAUUGGAAACAGCCUCUGUGCCCUUUCGGGUAGGGGUAAGGCUAGUCUACAUAUUACCCUCCCCAGACCCCACUUUGUGGUGGGACUAUACUGGGUAGUUGUUGUUGUUGUUGUUGAUUCAGAUUGUGCCACUGCUUCAUGUUAUUCGUGCUUCGUUGGCAGCCUAUGCCUCUUGAAGGAGAGCCUGUAACUCUUCACGUUUGCUUGGAUCACCCAUAGAGUUUGGCUCUGAUACCAAGUUGUUAUGGUCACGCAGAAUGGAUCUUGUCAGAGGGCGAUUCACUGGAAAAUCUGUGUUGAAACAGAUCCUUUCCCUUGUUUCUAUUCCGUGAGCGGCCUAUUUUGAUAACAAUAAAUAAACUCGUUAAAGGGAACCUAUAACCUUAGAACUCAUUAGAGAGAGUCCCAGACCUCUUGUUUUUAAUAUAAAUCUUGUCUGCCUUUUUUAUUCCUUCUGUCUCUUUAAAUAGAGUCUAAUUACAAAGCUAUUAAGCAUAACUAGGAGUCUACAGAUAUAAGAAAUCUACUACACUAAGAAUUCUAGUAAAAUUAAACUACUGACUAAACUAAGAAGUCUAGUAAAGUUAAACUACUGACUAUUUAAAUGCCCAACAAAUAUCUGUCAGGUGCAUUAACCCCCACGAAUGAGUCUGUAACAUCAGCACAUUCAGUAAUACCUUACAAAUUAGAUUAGCAAUUUACUAGUCUAAAGAUUGAAUGCAUUGUGUUUCACAUAUGGUAUAUGACACAUUCCUCAUUCAGCG